GGUUGUGGCUCAGUGGUAGAGCGCUUGCCUAGCAUGUGUGAGACACUAGGUUCGAUCUCUGGCACCA
Molecule: transfer RNA, 67 nt
Filed under: Marmota monax (woodchuck)
Lineage: Eukaryota; Metazoa; Chordata; Mammalia; Rodentia; Sciuridae
Description: tRNA.Ala
Source: RNAcentral